Long non-coding RNA from Oreochromis aureus, 501 nucleotides. NCBI's taxonomy places the organism in Eukaryota, Metazoa, Chordata, Actinopteri, Cichliformes, Cichlidae. The record is from Ensembl.
CAGGAACGGUGCUCCUCACGGACAGUCAGUUUACUUUAGCGCUGUUUAGACCUUACCGGUGUAAAGUAUUUACUAAAAGGCGCACGAAAGAGUUUACGUGUAAAUACGCGCGUCACUUCAGGCGUUAGAUAAUCAGUUCAUUUUAAUGCUGUUAGGUUGCUCAUUCAGUGGGGUCCUACGGUAAAAUACAUUAAAACAGAAGAAUAUUUAACAUUACAGUUUAAAGACAACGACGCAGACCUAAUUAAAAAGUUAAUCCACGCACACACAGACGGGCUCUCGGUCUGGUAAAUAAGCUGAAAAUGCCUGCGCGCUCCCAGAGACACAGCGGUAUGCACAUUUGAAAUUAAUCAAAGGGAUGUGCCUUUUUAUGCCACUGGCGAAUGGUCUUGAUUCUGUCUUGAUGCAUGCUCAAUCAUCCAGCAUUCGGGCGUUUUGCAAUCACUGAAUCGACCAUGAACAAGGCCCAGUUCAGAACUCAGGGGACUGAAACGCUGUGGA